RNAcentral lists this ribosomal RNA (253 nucleotides) under uncultured bacterium. RNAcentral's name for it is "partial 16S ribosomal RNA". It matches the Rfam family "Bacterial small subunit ribosomal RNA", at positions 524 to 776 of the family's 1533-position model. The record is from RNAcentral.
UACAGAGGGGGCGAGCGUUGUUCGGAAUUACUGGGCGUAAAGGGCGCGUAGGUGGCCUGUUAAGUCGAACGUGAAAUCCCCGGGCUCAACCCGGGAACUGCGUCCGAGACUGGCAGGCUCGAAUCCGGGAGAGGGAUGUGGAAUUCCAGGUGUAGCGGUGAAAUGCGUAGAUAUCAGGAGGAACACCGGUGGCGAAGGCGGGUCUCUGGGCCGAUACUGACGCUGAGGAGCGAAAGCGUGGGGAGCGAACAGG